Molecule: long non-coding RNA, 548 nt
Filed under: Homo sapiens (human)
Lineage: Eukaryota; Metazoa; Chordata; Mammalia; Primates; Hominidae
Description: TMEM161B divergent transcript
Source: RNAcentral
ACAGGUACGUGGGCGGGCGGAUCGUGGUGGCUGCGCUUGCGAGGACCCUGAGGUAGAUUGGGUGGUUUCAACAGGAACGCAUCCACUGUCUGAGAGUUUAAACUUGAUUUUGUGAGGGGACGAACAGCGUGACAAUUAAAAGAAGAUCUGGGAAUCAAAAGCUUCCUGAGGCCUUCACCAGAAGCAGAUGCUGGUGCCGUGCUUCUACAGCCUGCAGAACUCAGAGCAACUGGGAACCUAAUUCUGACCAAAAAGGAGGAAUUGUUUGGCUAAUUGGAAGUGACAGAAACCUUGGGAGAAAGCAACCGCAUACCAAGGAUAAUUAUAAGAAGGUAACAUGGGCCCUAAAGGAUAGUGUCAAGAAACCUGAAACCCCCAAAUGAGGUGAGACUUGCAAAAAAUGCUAAGGAAGGACAAAAAACAGGCCUUUUAAAAUUCUGUUCAGAACCAGAAGAUGAUCAAGAAAGGGAAAUGCCCACUAGCAGCUUCUACUGUAAGGUUAGAGCUGACAGAGAAAGAACUCCUUAACUACUAUUUGCUUCAUUCUC